AAGACCUUACUUCAUAGGAUCAUUUCUAUAGUAAGCUCUUCCUCAGUCUUCCACAAUAUGUGAGACGAGCUCAAACCACGAUGAGGAGACGUGGCGCGGCGCCCUGAGCGUGAGAAUGGCAGAGGCAGCUUGUCUCUAGCCCUCGAUGAUCGUUCGCUCCCCUCACGGGGAGUGUGGGGUGUUGUCGCUGUCUGAGUGGU
Small nucleolar RNA from Operophtera brumata (winter moth), 200 nucleotides. It matches the Rfam family "Small nucleolar RNA U3". From Rfam's summary of the family: Small nucleolar RNAs (snoRNAs) are involved in the processing and modification of rRNA in the nucleolus. There are two main classes of snoRNAs: the box C/D class, and the box H/ACA class. The record is from Rfam. Lineage: Eukaryota; Metazoa; Arthropoda; Insecta; Lepidoptera; Geometridae.